AAUAGAUACCCUGGUAGUCCAUGCCGUAAACGAUGUCUACUAGCCGUUGGGGGCCUUUGAGGGCUUUAGUGGCGCAGCUAACGCGAUAAGUAGACCGCCUGGGGAGUACGGUCGCAAGACUAAAACUCAAAUGAAUUGACGGGGGGCCCGCACAAGCGGUGGAGCAUGUGGUUUAAUUCGAUGCAACGCGAAGAACCUUACCUGGCCUUGACAUACUAGAAACUUUCCAGAGAUGGAUUGGUGCCUUCGGGAAUCUAGAUACAGGUGCUGCAUGGCUGUCGUCAGCUCGUGUCGUGAGAUGUUGGGUUAAGUCCCGCAACGAGCGCAACCCUUUUCCUUACUUGCCAGCAUUUCGGAUGGGAACUUUAAGGAUACUGCCAGUGACAAACUGGAGGAAGGCGGGGACGACGUCAAGUCAUCAUGGCCCUUACGGCCAGGGCUACACACGUGCUACAAUGGUCGGUACAAAGGGUUGCUACACAGCGAUGUGAUGCUAAUCUCAAAAAGCCGAUCGUAGUCCGGAUUGG
This 527-nucleotide ribosomal RNA is filed under the name uncultured bacterium. Its description in RNAcentral is "bacterial SSU rRNA". It matches the Rfam family "Bacterial small subunit ribosomal RNA", at positions 777 to 1301 of the family's 1533-position model. The record is from RNAcentral.